This 172-nucleotide ribosomal RNA is filed under the name Arabidopsis thaliana (thale cress). The record is from RNAcentral. Lineage: Eukaryota; Viridiplantae; Streptophyta; Magnoliopsida; Brassicales; Brassicaceae.
GAUCAUAAAGUCUUAAAAAAGAAUAGAUACGAUUGCAUUGCAUGUAUUAACGGAUGCGAUUAUACCAGCAUUAAUGCACUGGAUCCCAUCAGAAAUCUGUAGUUAAGCGUGCUUGGGCGAGAGUUGUACUAGGAUGGGUGACCUCCAGGAAAGUCCUCGUGUUGCAUUCCUC